AGAGUUUGAUCCUGGCUCAGAGCGAACGCUGGCGGCGUGCUUAACACAUGCAAGUCGAGUGCGCGGUAGCAAUACUGGCGCACGGCGCACGGGUGCGUAACACGUGGGCAACCUGCCCUUCAAUGGGGGAUAACCCCGCGAAAGCGGGGCUAAUACCGCAUGAUAUUCCUGGGACUCCUGUUCCGGGACUCAAAGGUCGCAAGAUCGUUGAAGGAGGGGCCCGCGCCCGAUUAGCUAGUUGGUGAGGUAACGGCUCACCAAGGCUAUGAUCGGUAGCCGGUCUGAGAGGAUGGCCGGCCACACUGGAACUGAGACACGGUCCAGACUCCUACGGGAGGCAGCAGUGGGGAAUCUUGCGCAAUGGGCGAAAGCCUGACGCAGCGACGCCGUGUGGGGGAUGAAGCUUCUCGGAGUGUAAACCCCUUUCGACCCGGACGAAACGCCCGCAAGGGCUUGACGGUACGGGUAUAAGAAGCCCCGGCUAACUACGUGCCAGCAGCCGCGGUAAGACGUAGGGGGCCAGCGUUGCUCGGAAUUACUGGGCGUAAAGGGUUCGUAGGCGGUGUGGCAAGUCGGGAGUGAAAUCUCUGGGCUUAACUCAGAGGCUGCUUCCGAAACUGCCGUGCUAGAGUGCGGGAGAGGCGAGUGGAAUUGCAGGUGUAGCGGUGAAAUGCGUAGAUAUCUGCAGGAACACCCGUGGCGAAGGCGGCUCGCUGGACCGCAACUGACGCUGAGGAACGAAAGCUAGGGGAGCAAACAGGAUUAGAUACCCUGGUAGUCCUAGCCCUAAACCAUCAGACUUGGGGUGCAUCCCGUUCGGGGUGCGUCCCGGAGCUAACGCGUUAAGUCCUGCGCCUGGGAGUACGUCGCAAGGCUGAAACUCAAGGAAUUGACGGGGCCCGCACAAGCGGUGGAACAUGUGGUUCAAUUCGACGCAACGCGAAGAACCUUACCUGGGCUUGAACUG
RNAcentral lists this ribosomal RNA (967 nucleotides) under uncultured bacterium. Its description in RNAcentral is "bacterial SSU rRNA". It matches the Rfam family "Bacterial small subunit ribosomal RNA", at positions 8 to 988 of the family's 1533-position model. The record is from RNAcentral.